CGAAAGCGCCUGCAAGGGAUGGUGAGAAGCACUUCUCUUUAGUUGGAUGCACCUGUGCUCCAGCAUUCCAAUUUGAAGAUUUUGAACUGGCGAAACGUUCUGAGCUUGUUUCGCGUUUUCCUGCUCAUGAAUCCCUUAUCUCUUUGCUCACCUUCCUCGAGUGAACACGCUUAGUCUUAUUUGAAGAUUUUGAACUGGCAAAACGUUCUGAGCUUGUUUCGCGUUUUCCUGCUCAUGAAUCCCUUAUCUCUUUGCUCACCUUCCUCGAGUGAACACGCUUAGUCUUUUGUUUCUUUCACUAGUUUCUUUAAAAGAUCUGUACUUAUAUUGUCUCCAUCAUAUUUGGGCAACCUGGACUUGGAAACAGUUGCUCAUUUCCUGUCUCAUCUUAGUAUUCAAGCUAUUGGUGUGUAAUUUGAUCUGAGUUGCAAUAAAAGAUGAUCAGUGUGCUAUUUAGUUGAAUAAUUUCCUUUUUCAGCAUUGUUAACUGGUAAGGGGCGCUUUGGCAUAAGUGAUAAAGUUGUUGUCAUGUGAUCAAGGGGUCACGAGUUCGAGCCGUGGAAAC
This 565-nucleotide long non-coding RNA is filed under the name Nicotiana benthamiana. Its description in RNAcentral is "long non-coding RNA (NBEN_LNC031960)". Lineage: Eukaryota; Viridiplantae; Streptophyta; Magnoliopsida; Solanales; Solanaceae. The record is from RNAcentral.